AUUGAACGCUGGCGGAAUGCUUUACACAUGCAAGUCGAACGGCAGCACGGGGGCAACCCUGGUGGCGAGUGGCGAACGGGUGAGUAAUACAUCGGAACGUGCCCAGUCGUGGGGGAUAACGUAGCGAAAGUUACGCUAAUACCGCAUACGAUCUACGGAUGAAAGCGGGGGACCGUAAGGCCUCGCGCGAUUGGAGCGGCCAAUGUCAGAUUAGGUAGUUGGUGAGGUAAAGGCUCACCAAGCCGACGAUCUGUAGCUGGUCUGCGAGGACGACCAGCCACACUGGGACUGAGACACGGCCCAGACUCCUACGGGAGGCAGCAGUGGGGAAUUUUGGACAAUGGGCGCAAGCCUGAUCCAGCCAUUCCGCGUGCAGGACGAAGGCCUUCGGGUUGUAAACUGCUUUUGUACGGAACGAAAAGGCUCUGGUUAAUACCUGGGGCUCAUGACGGUACCGUAAGAAUAAGCACCGGCUAACUACGUGCCAGCCGCCGCCGUAA
RNAcentral lists this ribosomal RNA (500 nucleotides) under uncultured bacterium. RNAcentral's name for it is "partial 16S ribosomal RNA". It matches the Rfam family "Bacterial small subunit ribosomal RNA", at positions 30 to 523 of the family's 1533-position model. The record is from RNAcentral.